RNAcentral lists this ribosomal RNA (356 nucleotides) under uncultured Acholeplasma sp. Its description in RNAcentral is "bacterial SSU rRNA". It matches the Rfam family "Bacterial small subunit ribosomal RNA", at positions 1023 to 1382 of the family's 1533-position model. The record is from RNAcentral. Lineage: Bacteria; Bacillati; Mycoplasmatota; Mollicutes; Acholeplasmatales; Acholeplasmataceae.
AUUCGGGGAGGACAGGUGGUGCAUGGUUGUCGUCAGCUCGUGUCGUGAGAUGUGGGUUAAGUCCCGCAACGAGCGCACCCCUAUUGCUAGUUACCAUCAUUAAGUUGGGGACUCUAGCGAGACUGCCAGUGAUAAACUGGAGGAAGGUGGGGAUGACGUCAAAUCAUCAUGCCCCUUAUGACCUGGGCUACAAACGUGAUACAAUGGCUGGAACAAAGGGAUGCGAAGCAGUGAUGUGGAGCGAAACCCAUAAAAACAGUCUCAGUUCGGAUUGAAGUCUGCAACUCGACUUCAUGAAGUCGGAAUCGCUAGUAAUCGCGGAUCAGAACGCCGCGGUGAAUACGUUCUCGGGGUUU